This 440-nucleotide ribosomal RNA is filed under the name uncultured Rhodospirillaceae bacterium. Its description in RNAcentral is "bacterial SSU rRNA". It matches the Rfam family "Bacterial small subunit ribosomal RNA", at positions 338 to 795 of the family's 1533-position model. The record is from RNAcentral. Lineage: Bacteria; Pseudomonadati; Pseudomonadota; Alphaproteobacteria; Rhodospirillales; Rhodospirillaceae.
CCUACGGGUGGCAGCAGUGGGGAAUAUUGGACAAUGGGGGCAACCCUGAUCCAGCGAUGCCGCGUGAGUGAUGAAGGCCUUCGGGUUGUAAAGCUCUUUUGCACGCGACGAUGAUGACGGUAGCGUGAGAAUAAGCCCCGGCUAACUCUGUGCCAGCAGCCGCGGUAAUACAGAGGGGGCUAGCGUUGUUCGGAAUGACUGGGCGUAAAGGGCGCGUAGGUGGCUCUACAAGUCAGAUGUGAAAGGCCUAGGCUUAACCUGGGGAUGGCAUUUGAGACUGUAAAGCUAGAGUCCGGGAGAGGAUAGCGGAAUUCCUAGUGUAGAGGUGAAAUUCGUAGAUAUUAGGAAGAACACCGGUGGCGAAGGCGGCUAUCUGGAACGGAACUGACACUGAGGCGCGAAAGCGUGGGGAGCAAACAGGCUUAGAUACCCCGGUAGUC